GACGAACGCUGGCGGCGUGCUUAACACAUGCAAGUCGAACGGAAAGGCCCUGCUUUUGUGGGGUGCUCGAGUGGCGAACGGGUGAGUAACACGUGAGUAACCUGCCCUUGACUUUGGGAUAACUUCAGGAAACUGGGGCUCAUACCGGAUAGGAGCUCCUGCUGCAUGGUGGGGGUUGGAAAGUUUCGGCGGUUGGGGAUGGACUUGCGGCUUAUCAGCUUGUUGGUGGGGUAGUGGCUUACCAAGGCUUUGACGGGUAGCCGGCCUGAGAGGGUGACCGGCCACAUUGGGACUGAGAUACGGCCCAGACUCCUACGGGAGGCAGCAGUGGGGAAUAUUGCACAAUGGGCGGAAGCCUGAUGCAGCAACGCCGCGUGCGGGAUGACGGCCUGCGGGUUGUAAACCGCUUUCGCCUGUGACGAAGCGUGAGUGACGGUAAUGGGUAAAGAAGCACCGGCUAACUACGUG
This 468-nucleotide ribosomal RNA is filed under the name uncultured bacterium. Its description in RNAcentral is "partial 16S ribosomal RNA". It matches the Rfam family "Bacterial small subunit ribosomal RNA", at positions 28 to 507 of the family's 1533-position model. The record is from RNAcentral.